CCUACGGGGGGCACCAGUGGGGAAUAUUGCACAAUGGGCGCAAGCCUGAUGCAGCCAUGCCGCGUGUGUGAAGAAGGCCUUCGGGUUGUAAAGCACUUUCAGCGGGGAGGAAGGCGCCAAGGUUAAUAACCUUGGCGAUUGACGUUACCCGCAGAAGAAGCACCGGCUAACUCCGUGCCAGCAGCCGCGGUAAUACGGAGGGUGCAAGCGUUAAUCGGAAUUACUGGGCGUAAAGCGCACGCAGGCGGUCUGUCAAGUCGGAUGUGAAAUCCCCGGGCUCAACCUGGGAACUGCAUUCGAAACUGGCAGGCUAGAGUCUUGUAGAGGGGGGUAGAAUUCCAGGUGUAGCGGUGAAAUGCGUAGAGAUCUGGAGGAAUACCGGUGGCGAAGGCGGCCCCCUGGACAAGGACUGACGCUCAGGUGCGAAAGCGUGGGGAGCAAACAGGAUUAGAUACCCCUGUAGUC
RNAcentral lists this ribosomal RNA (465 nucleotides) under uncultured bacterium. RNAcentral's name for it is "bacterial SSU rRNA". It matches the Rfam family "Bacterial small subunit ribosomal RNA", at positions 338 to 795 of the family's 1533-position model. The record is from RNAcentral.